UACGAAGGGGGCUAGCGUUGCUCGGAAUUACUGGGCGUAAAGCGUGCGCAGGCGGUUCUCCAAGUCCGUUGUGAAAGCCCCGGGCUCAACCUGGGAAUGGCAGUGGAAACUAGGGGACUGGAAUCUGGCAGAGGGGGGUGGAAUGCCGCGUGUAGCAGUGAAAUGCGUAGAGAUGCGGCGGAACACCGAUGGCGAAGGCAGCCCCCUGGGCUGAGAUUGACGCUCAGGCACGAAAGCGUGGGGAGCAAACAGG
This 253-nucleotide ribosomal RNA is filed under the name uncultured bacterium. Its description in RNAcentral is "partial 16S ribosomal RNA". It matches the Rfam family "Bacterial small subunit ribosomal RNA", at positions 524 to 776 of the family's 1533-position model. The record is from RNAcentral.